GUUUUCUAUGUUAGUUGAUUCAAGUUUGUUUAUUGUAAUGGGGGUUUUACUUAAGUUCUGAUUUUCCCCGUGUUUAAAUACCAUAACCAGUAUGUAUCUUGUAACAAUAUUUUUCAUACUUGCAUGCAACUUAGCAGCAUUUAAAUUUAAAUGUAUACACUUGUUUACCACUUAUUUUUGCAUACAAUACAAAUAAUGUGACAUCCUUUUGUCGCAUUGGUUUCAUUAAACCACAUGCAGACUAAAUAUUUUUGUAUAUUUUUUUUG
RNAcentral lists this long non-coding RNA (267 nucleotides) under Mytilus galloprovincialis (Mediterranean mussel). The record is from RNAcentral. Lineage: Eukaryota; Metazoa; Mollusca; Bivalvia; Mytilida; Mytilidae.